AGUGAAUAGAUACCCAGGUAGUCCACGCCGUAAACGAUGAAUACUAGGUGUAGGAGGUAUCGACUCCUUCUGUGCCGCAGUUAACACAAUAAGUAUUCCGCCUGGGAAGUACGGUCGCAAGAUUAAAACUCAAAGGAAUUGACGGGGACCCGCACAAGCAGCGGAGCAUGUGGUUCAAUUCGAAGCAACGCGAAGAACCUUACCUAGACUUGACAUCUCCUGAAUUACUCGUAACUGAGGAAAUCCCUUCGGGGACAGGAAGACAGGUGGUGCAUGGUUGUCGUCAGCUCGUGUCGUGAGAUGUUGGGUUAAGUCCCGCAACGAGCGCAACCCUUUAUCAUUAGUUGCUAACAUUAAGCUGAGCACUCUAAUGAGACUGCCUGGGUUAACCAGGAGAAGGUGGGGAUGACGUCAAAUCAUCAUGCCCCUUAUGUCUAGGGCUACACACGUGCUACAAUGGUGGGGACAAAAAGAUGCGAAACCGUAAGGUUGAGCCAAACUCAAGACCCAUCCCAGUUCGGAUUGUAGGCUGAAACUAC
Molecule: ribosomal RNA, 539 nt
Filed under: uncultured bacterium
Lineage: Bacteria
Description: bacterial SSU rRNA
Rfam family: Bacterial small subunit ribosomal RNA
Source: RNAcentral